AGCCUCUCAGCUCCGCUUAAUCACACGGGUCAGUGUGUGCUUGGCGUGUUUUCAGGGAGGCAGAGAAAGGCUCUCUUAAUGCACGACAGACCCGCCCAGAAUGGCCUCUCUGUUCCUAGGAGUGUGACAGUU
Small nucleolar RNA from Callithrix jacchus (white-tufted-ear marmoset), 132 nucleotides. NCBI's taxonomy places the organism in Eukaryota, Metazoa, Chordata, Mammalia, Primates, Cebidae. The record is from Ensembl.